This 363-nucleotide ribosomal RNA is filed under the name uncultured Actinomycetes bacterium. RNAcentral's name for it is "bacterial SSU rRNA". It matches the Rfam family "Bacterial small subunit ribosomal RNA", at positions 287 to 662 of the family's 1533-position model. The record is from RNAcentral. Lineage: Bacteria; Bacillati; Actinomycetota; Actinomycetes.
CCGGCCUGAGAGGGCGACCGGCCACACUGGGACUGAGACACGGCCCAGACUCCUACGGGAGGCAGCAGUGGGGAAUAUUGGGCAAUGGAGGAAACUCUGACCCAGCGACGCCGCGUGCGGGAUGAAGGCCUUCGGGUUGUAAACCGCUUUCAGCAGGGAAGAAGCGAAAGUGACGGUACCUGCAGAAGAAGCACCGGCUAACUAUGUGCCAGCAGCCGCGGUAAUACAUAGGGUGCAAGCGUUGUCCGGAAUUAUUGGGCGUAAAGAGCUCGUAGGUGGUUCGUCACGUCGGAUGUGAAAANCUGGGGCUUAACCCCAGACCUGCAUUCGAUACGGGCGAACUAGAGUGUGGUAGGGGAGACU